Molecule: long non-coding RNA, 206 nt
Filed under: Theobroma cacao (cacao)
Lineage: Eukaryota; Viridiplantae; Streptophyta; Magnoliopsida; Malvales; Malvaceae
Description: long non-coding RNA (TCAC_LNC003213)
Source: RNAcentral
UUCAUCCAUUUACAAUUGGAUUUAGAAAUCAGCACAUAAACCCUCCCAACUCAUUUCUCUUGGUCGGCCAAAGGAAGAAAAGGGAAGAAAAGAAGAAGAACAAAACCCUAGCUAAGAAAUUCAAGAGAAAUUCACCAAAUUUCAAGGAAUUAAGCCAUCAAAGGUGAAAUUUCUUGAUUCUAGCUUGUGAUCUACCUUGCCUAUGC